AUGGCUACGCCGGCGAGGCUCGGCCACUGCAGCCUCCACGCGCUACUGCGCGACUACGACCAGCCGGGGGUGGAGGACAUCAUGUGCCAGGGCAUGGGGUCUGGCUUCGCGAACGACAUCGUCCUGCUCCGCAACAUCGGCGGUCGCUACCUCCACGCCAACGGGAGGUACCUCCGCUGGAACACCGCCGUCAACGUCGACGACAAUAAUCCCCCAUACGGAUACCUCCUCGGGGUCAUCCACCCAGAGCCGAGAUGGCUGAUCCGGUUCGUGUGGGCACUCAACGAAGGGCACUACCCCAAGGACCCCGAGGCCGACGGCUGGCAGCAGUUCUGGUUCAGGGGGAGGUCCGCAUUUCACCUGAGGGAUGACCUGGGGUUCCUCGUGCUCGACCUCGGCAUCGGCGACUACAACGAGACCUGUCGCAGCAUCGUCACCAAGCACGUCGCUGAGUGGGAGGCCGUCGUCAUGCGCUUGGGUAGGUGGAUCGACUACAAGGCCGACUGCACGGGGAGGUGGUCCAUCGCCUUGGUCGUCCUCACCGUCGAGUUCUCUCCUCUAAGUUAUCCCACUGAUUCCUCCCCUCUGCUUAUCUCCUAUGCUCUAUGUGCUCCGAAGAAUGGGGUGUCGUGCUUUCGGCCCCGUCAAGAGGUAACUGAAAUACCAACACUAUCUUCUGCGGUUUGGAUGUUCUUGGGUAGUGUGAGCAACUACUACAUCAACAGCGUGGGUUGCCCCAUCUCGUGA
RNAcentral lists this ribosomal RNA (747 nucleotides) under Triticum aestivum (bread wheat). RNAcentral describes it as "partial small subunit ribosomal RNA". The record is from RNAcentral. Lineage: Eukaryota; Viridiplantae; Streptophyta; Magnoliopsida; Poales; Poaceae.